Molecule: long non-coding RNA, 274 nt
Organism: Stylophora pistillata
Lineage: Eukaryota; Metazoa; Cnidaria; Anthozoa; Scleractinia; Pocilloporidae
Source: RefSeq, a predicted model, not a curated record
CAACGAGCAAUUCGAAGAUAUCGCGCCAAGUAUUAGAUUCCUUUACUUCCAUUACAACGAAAUGCGAGAACUGCCGGCCGGUUUCUUCUCGAACAUGAGAAAUCUAAUAACAGUGACUGUAGACACCAACCUGAUGUGUUGCCAUUUGACGAAGGAGGACGCAGAUUGCGACUUUGCUUAUGUCGACAGCUUCGCCAGUUGUGAAACUAUGUUCAGAGAUCGAGCCCCCAGGAUAUGUCUCUGGGUGGUCGGAAUUAUGUCGUUGGCUGGUGCU